RNAcentral lists this ribosomal RNA (252 nucleotides) under uncultured bacterium. RNAcentral's name for it is "partial 16S ribosomal RNA". It matches the Rfam family "Bacterial small subunit ribosomal RNA", at positions 524 to 776 of the family's 1533-position model. The record is from RNAcentral.
UACGAAGGGGGCUAGCGUUGCUCGGAAUCACUGGGCGUAAAGGGUGCGUAGGCGGGUUUUUAAGUCAGAGGUGAAAUCCUGGAGCUCAACUCCAGAACUGCCUUUGAUACUGAAAGUCUUGAGUAUGGGAGAGGUGAGUGGAACUGCGAGUGUAGAGGUGAAAUUCGUAGAUAUUCGCAAGAACACCAGUGGCGAAGGCGCUCACUGGCCCAUAACUGACGCUGAGGCACGAAAGCGUGGGGAGCAAACAGG